UCCGCGAACGGCAGAGAUGGUCGCCCCCUUGUGGUCGGUGUACAGGUGGUGCAUGGCUGUCGUCAGCUCGUGUCGUGAGAUGUUGGGUUAAGUCCCGCAACGAGCGCAACCCUUGUUCUGUGUUGCCAGCAUGCCCUUUCGGGGGUGAUGGGGACUCACAGGAGACUGCCGGGGUCAACUCGGAGGAAGGUGGGGACGACGUCAAGUCAUCAUGCCCCUUAUGUCUUGGGCUGCACACGUGCUACAAUGGCCGGUACAAUGAGCUGCGAUGCCGUGAGGCGGAGCGAAUCUCAAAAAGCCGGUCUCAGUUCGGAUUGGGGUCUGCAACUCGACCCCAUGAAGUCGGAGUUGCUAGUAAUCGCAGAUCAGCAUUGCUGCGGUGAAUACGUUCCCGGGCCUUGUAACACACCGAA
This 413-nucleotide ribosomal RNA is filed under the name Streptomyces scopuliridis. Its description in RNAcentral is "bacterial SSU rRNA". It matches the Rfam family "Bacterial small subunit ribosomal RNA", at positions 989 to 1394 of the family's 1533-position model. The record is from RNAcentral. Lineage: Bacteria; Bacillati; Actinomycetota; Actinomycetes; Kitasatosporales; Streptomycetaceae.